RNAcentral lists this ribosomal RNA (476 nucleotides) under uncultured bacterium. RNAcentral's name for it is "SSU rRNA". It matches the Rfam family "Bacterial small subunit ribosomal RNA", at positions 26 to 518 of the family's 1533-position model. The record is from RNAcentral.
AGGACGAACGCUGGCGGCGUGCUUAACACAUGCAAGUCGAGCGGUGAUCCUCCUUCGGGAGGUGAUCAGCGGCGAACGGGUGAGUAACACGUGGGCAACCUGCCCCUCACACUGGGAUAACCUCGGGAAACCGGGGCUAAUACCGGAUACGACCUCGAGCGGCAUCUCUUGAGGUGGAAAGCUCCGACGGUGAGGGAUGGGCCCGCGGCCUAUCAGCUUGUUGGUGGGGUAAUGGCCUACCAAGGCGACGACGGGUAGCCGGCCUGAGAGGGCGACCGGCCACACUGGGACUGAGACACGGCCCAGACUCCUACGGGAGGCAGUAGUGGGGAAUAUUGCGCAAUGGGCGAAAGCCUGACGCAGCGACGCCGCGUGAGGGAUGAAGGCCUUCGGGUUGUAAACCUCUUUCAGCAGGGACGAAGCGAAGUGACGGUACCUGCAGAAGAAGCACCGGCUAACUACGUGCCAGCAGCCGC